GCGGAUGUCGUCCCCUUGGAUCGCUUCAAGAAUGUCAGUGGCGGUGAUCGAGUCAUCAACAUCACGUAUCAGAAAGUCGGUUUGCACACAGUCUGCUGCCAGGCGGCCCGUCACUGGCAUUGACCCUAAUGUCUUUAUUUGAAGGAUUUCUUUCGCACAUUCAUAGUUGUCAGUUUUUAGAAGAAGAAAACCCUCCUUAGUAUAGCGAACGUCUGUUAAGUGCGGGUGUGACGUUAGAGCUUGUCGGAGGAGAGAAGAUAGCUCGCUCGGCUUGACUUUAGGUAUGUGGGACGAAUUUGGUCCGGAUAAGAAGAUGGCAAUCGGUCGGGGAGUAAACUUCUCCCGACAGAAUUCGAGUUUUUCUAUGUCAGUCCAAGCGGCCAGGGCUCUAUCCACUGGCCAGUCCUCCAACGUCCCUGGGGGUUGGUGGCCCACCCCUGCCAUAGGGCUCGGCGAAGGUAGGGAACCCAACGUGUCGCUUCAGAAGUGCCGUACAAGUCCGAAACUAGAACCCCAAAAGCUUACUCACCUCAAAGGCACUCGGAAAGAAAUAAAUAUCGUCAACUGCUGGAGUGGCUGUUAAUUCACUUCCACUCUAUAAUUUUAUUCCUUAGGAGAAUCCCUUAACAGCUCGGUUGAGAACGAAUGACUACU
RNAcentral lists this long non-coding RNA (654 nucleotides) under Androctonus crassicauda. Lineage: Eukaryota; Metazoa; Arthropoda; Arachnida; Scorpiones; Buthidae. The record is from RNAcentral.